RNAcentral lists this ribosomal RNA (550 nucleotides) under Citrobacter sp. RNAcentral's name for it is "bacterial SSU rRNA". It matches the Rfam family "Bacterial small subunit ribosomal RNA", at positions 110 to 656 of the family's 1533-position model. The record is from RNAcentral. Lineage: Bacteria; Pseudomonadati; Pseudomonadota; Gammaproteobacteria; Enterobacterales; Enterobacteriaceae.
GUAAUGUCUGGGAAACUGCCCGAUGGAGGGGGAUAACUACUGGAAACGGUAGCUAAUACCGCAUAACGUCGCAAGACCAAAGAGGGGGACCUUCGGGCCUCUUGCCAUCGGAUGUGCCCAGAUGGGAUUAGCUAGUAGGUGGGGUAACGGCUCACCUAGGCGACGAUCCCUAGCUGGUCUGAGAGGAUGACCAGCCACACUGGAACUGAGACACGGUCCAGACUCCUACGGGAGGCAGCAGUGGGGAAUAUUGCACAAUGGGCGCAAGCCUGAUGCAGCCAUGCCGCGUGUAUGAAGAAGGCCUUCGGGUUGUAAAGUACUUUCAGCGAGGAGGAAGGCGUUGAGGUUAAUAACCUCAGCGAUUGACGUUACUCGCAGAAGAAGCACCGGCUAACUCCGUGCCAGCAGCCGCGGUAAUACGGAGGGUGCAAGCGUUAAUCGGAAUUACUGGGCGUAAAGCGCACGCAGGCGGUCUGUCAAGUCGGAUGUGAAAUCCCCGGGCUCAACCUGGGAACUGCAUCCGAAACUGGCAGGCUAGAGUACUAAUGGG